CCUACGGGUGGCAGCAGUGGGGAAUAUUGGACAAUGGGCGAAAGCCUGAUCCAGCCAUGCCGCGUGUGUGAAGAAGGCCUUCGGGUUGUAAAGCACUUUCAGUGGGGAAGAAAGCCUUGGGGCUAAUACCCUCGAGGAAGGACAUCACCCACAGAAGAAGCACCGGCUAACUCCGUGCCAGCAGCCGCGGUAAUACGGAGGGUGCGAGCGUUAAUCGGAAUUACUGGGCGUAAAGCGCGCGUAGGCGGUCUGAUAAGCCGGUUGUGAAAGCCCCGGGCUCAACCUGGGAACGGCAUCCGGAACUGUCAGGCUAGAGUGCAGGAGAGGAAGGUAGAAUUCCCGGUGUAGCGGUGAAAUGCGUAGAGAUCGGGAGGAAUACCAGUGGCGAAGGCGGCCUUCUGGACUGACACUGACGCUGAGGUGCGAAAGCGUGGGUAGCAAACAGGAUUAGAUACCCCAAUAGUC
Molecule: ribosomal RNA, 465 nt
Filed under: Vreelandella stevensii
Lineage: Bacteria; Pseudomonadati; Pseudomonadota; Gammaproteobacteria; Oceanospirillales; Halomonadaceae
Description: partial 16S ribosomal RNA
Rfam family: Bacterial small subunit ribosomal RNA
Source: RNAcentral